RNAcentral lists this ribosomal RNA (128 nucleotides) under Streptococcus agalactiae. Its description in RNAcentral is "partial 16S ribosomal RNA". It matches the Rfam family "Bacterial small subunit ribosomal RNA", at positions 1 to 123 of the family's 1533-position model. Lineage: Bacteria; Bacillati; Bacillota; Bacilli; Lactobacillales; Streptococcaceae. The record is from RNAcentral.
UUUAAUGAGAGUUUGAUCCUGGCUCAGGACGAACGCUGGCGGCGUGCCUAAUACAUGCAAGUAGAACGCUGAGGUUUGGUGUUUACACUAGACUGAUGAGUUGCGAACGGGUGAGUAACGCGUAGGUA